Molecule: long non-coding RNA, 857 nt
Organism: Ceratitis capitata (Mediterranean fruit fly)
Lineage: Eukaryota; Metazoa; Arthropoda; Insecta; Diptera; Tephritidae
Exons: 3
Source: RefSeq, a predicted model, not a curated record
GUAAAAAAGUAUACAAGACGAAUUGGGUUGCGCAAAGUUGAGUCGAAGUGAAACCGUUGCCGAGUACAGUGAAUUAAAGUAAAUGAUCGGAAUUUCGCUGAACGAAACACUCAUCAAACGUAUCAAUUUCAAAUAAAAAAAAUUGAUAAUCACUUCCAAGUGUUGCCAGUUCGUCGUACAUACAAAUGUAUGUAUAUUAUAUAACAUCCCAUUUUGGUAUAACAAUAAAAAUUUAAAAAUCAAUAAAUGCUUCAAAAAAGCAGCAAAAUCAAAAGUGUUUAAAGUUUCAUUAAAAAAAAAAGAUUACAUAUAUAUAUAUAUAAUAUAUACUUGCUAUACUUAUAACUUACUUGGCUGUGUGUGUGCAUAUCACUUUUGUAUAGUUGUGUGCAUGACAUUGCGCUUGAUAACCUCGAAAGUGUAUUGAAUAACAACAAACAAGCAAAAGCAUAAAAAAAUAACAAAAAAAAAAAAACAAAAAAAAAAAGAAUCAACAAACAAUCAAUUAAACCCAAAAUCGUGUAGUGAAAAUAGUAAAUAAAUAGUGUGCGAAUAUUUGUAUGUGUGUUCUAAGCGCGUCAUAGAGUGACAACUUUAAAAAAAAAAAAAGAAAGAUUAGAGCUAUCUUAAGGAAUUUCAACGCGUUAUCUUCUCCAAUCAGCGCAAUCAAUUUUUUUCUAGCAAAAUCAAUCGCGUUAAAAACAGGUAUGUACAUCCACUUACACAUAUAUGACGUCUUCAAGCUUCGUGUCUGUGAAAUGAUAAGAUGACUUUUUGACUUAAUUGUCGGAAGUUUGGUUUGUUAAAAAGUCACUCUAUGCUUUGUUGAAAGGACUACAAAUCGUAAGUAUAAAAAU